GCCCGGGUGGCGGAAUUGGUAGACGCGCAAGACUAAGGAUCUUGUGGGGGCAACCUCGUGCUGGUUCGACUCCAGUUCCGGGCACCA
RNAcentral lists this transfer RNA (87 nucleotides) under Planctomycetota bacterium. RNAcentral describes it as "tRNA-Leu". It matches the Rfam family "tRNA". Rfam says of the family: Transfer RNA (tRNA) molecules are approximately 80 nucleotides in length. Their secondary structure includes four short double-helical elements and three loops (D, anti-codon, and T loops). Further hydrogen bonds mediate the characteristic L-shaped molecular structure. tRNAs have two regions of fundamental functional importance: the anti-codon, which is responsible for specific mRNA codon recognition, and the 3' end, to which the tRNAs corresponding amino acid is attached (by aminoacyl-tRNA synthetases). tRNAs cope with the degeneracy of the genetic code in two manners: having more than one tRNA (with a specific anti-codon) for a particular amino acid; and 'wobble' base-pairing, i.e. permitting non-standard base-pairing at the 3rd anti-codon position. The record is from RNAcentral. Lineage: Bacteria; Pseudomonadati; Planctomycetota.